GGUGGAGUGGCUCAAGUGGUAGAGCACAUGCUUAGCAAGCAUGUGGUCCUGAGUUCAAACCUCAGUGCCACCU
Non-coding RNA from Castor canadensis (American beaver), 73 nucleotides. NCBI's taxonomy places the organism in Eukaryota, Metazoa, Chordata, Mammalia, Rodentia, Castoridae. The record is from the annotation of a RefSeq genome assembly.